GGGUGAAGGUGUAGGUGGUUGUUAGAGAAUUUGCACUGAGCGUGACCAACAUGAGAACCACAUGGAUGUCUACUUACUCAUCAGUGAUCUUCUCGAUGCUGCAGUUGUGUGAAUGAUCCUUUAACCUGCAGUGUCAUUGGUUAUUCGCAACGAGGCUACUGGGUUUGACUGCAGGUUCUCUUGAUCCAUAGUCAUUGGAUCCUUGCUGUGUAUGUUGGCUUCGGUAGAUUCAGGUUCGCUGUUUGGAAUAGGAUGCACCUAGAUGGAAUCUGUCGAUCUUUGUAGAAAAAGAGAAGUCAUAUGCGAUUUGCGAGACAGAGUUCAGAAAAUCUUUGGCCAAAGUGUGAAUACUGAAAAAGAAUUUUCAUGGGAUUCACAAAUGAACUCAAGUCAAGCCAAUCUAGCAUAUGACUGACGAUGGAGUCUGACGAGUUCUCUAUGACCUCCGUCAAGUCGGGACUCACGAUAGAAAGACUGAAUCAUACAAUAACUGCACCUAGAAAUUCGUACUUUCAUUCUACUGGAUUGCCACUACAUACUGCUAGGUGUCACUGGUGGAUUGUGAGACUCAUCGGACGUCAUCUUAAUGAUCAAUGGCUCUUAAAAGGUGAAUUGAAAAUAUUUCAAUCCAUCAAAAAGAGUUUUGAUGAUAUUGUGAUAGAGAUCACAAUAUAUCUCACUACCAGAUAGAAUGAAACCUAUGAAGUUAUACAUUAAGGAAUUUAAUC
This 728-nucleotide long non-coding RNA is filed under the name Elaeis guineensis (African oil palm). RNAcentral's name for it is "long non-coding RNA (EGUI_LNC072807)". The record is from RNAcentral. Lineage: Eukaryota; Viridiplantae; Streptophyta; Magnoliopsida; Arecales; Arecaceae.